GACUCUUCCUCACUUAUCUUGGAGUUCCCACCCUCUAAGUUGUAUGUUCAUUAUUUCCAUUCUCCAAAAGCUUCCUUCUUUCCAUCUUUUCCAUUCCUUUCCUUUUCCACAUUUAUUUCCUUCAUUAUAUUCUUGUUUACGUCUUUUUCCAUUUGGUUAUCUUCUUCAUUCUUUGCUUCAUUUAAUGCUCUUUCAUUUCCGCAAUCAUCAUCAUAAUCACCAUAUAUUGUGUUUUUCCUUUUUC
This 244-nucleotide long non-coding RNA is filed under the name Phaseolus vulgaris (common bean). RNAcentral describes it as "long non-coding RNA (PVUL_LNC005111)". The record is from RNAcentral. Lineage: Eukaryota; Viridiplantae; Streptophyta; Magnoliopsida; Fabales; Fabaceae.